UCGCCUACGGGGGGCAGCAGUGAGGGAUAUUGGUCAAUGGGGGAAACCCUGAACCAGCAACGCCGCGUGAGGGAAGACGGUUUUCGGAUUGUAAACCUCUGUCCUCUGUGAAGAUAAUGACGGUAGCAGAGGAGGAAGCUCCGGCUAACUACGUGCCAGCAGCCGCGGUAAUACGUAGGGAGCGAGCGUUAUCCGGAUUUACUGGGUGUAAAGGGAGCGUAGACGGCAGGGCAAGCCUGGAGUGAAAGCCCGGGGCCCAACCCCGGGACUGCUUUGGAAACUGCCAUGCUAGAGUG
RNAcentral lists this ribosomal RNA (296 nucleotides) under uncultured bacterium. RNAcentral describes it as "partial 16S ribosomal RNA". It matches the Rfam family "Bacterial small subunit ribosomal RNA", at positions 335 to 648 of the family's 1533-position model. The record is from RNAcentral.